UACGGAGGGAGCUAGCGUUGUUCGGAAUUACUGGGCGUAAAGCGCACGUAGGCGGCUUUGUAAGUUAGAGGUGAAAGCCGGGGCUCAACUCCGGAACUGCCUUUAAGACUGCAUCGCUUGAAUCCAGGAGAGGUGAGUGGAAUUCCGAGUGUAGAGGUGAAAUUCGUAGAUAUUCGGAAGAACACCAGUGGCGAAGGCGGCUCACUGGACUGGUAUUGACGCUGAGGUGCGAAAGCGUGGGGAGCAAACAGG
RNAcentral lists this ribosomal RNA (252 nucleotides) under uncultured bacterium. Its description in RNAcentral is "partial 16S ribosomal RNA". It matches the Rfam family "Bacterial small subunit ribosomal RNA", at positions 524 to 776 of the family's 1533-position model. The record is from RNAcentral.